CUCAAACCAUGGUGUCAGGACUCCUC
This 26-nucleotide non-coding RNA is filed under the name Rattus norvegicus (Norway rat). The record is from RNAcentral. Lineage: Eukaryota; Metazoa; Chordata; Mammalia; Rodentia; Muridae.